Molecule: long non-coding RNA, 1744 nt
Filed under: Nicotiana benthamiana
Lineage: Eukaryota; Viridiplantae; Streptophyta; Magnoliopsida; Solanales; Solanaceae
Description: long non-coding RNA (NBEN_LNC026126)
Source: RNAcentral
UUGUAUAAAGUUGUAUAGUUUUUAAGGGUAUCUACAAUAUUACUACAUUUAUACUACAAAUUAAACUACAAUCUUAUGUGAAAAAAAAUUGACAAAAAAAUUUGCUCUUCAUCUACAAAAAAAUACAAAUAAACUACAAUUGCACCCACACUGUCACACUUAUAGAAGAUUCAUAUGGCUACCCACAAAUUUACAAUUGAGAAUUGUUGAUUGAUCGAUUGAGGAAGUCUUCUGUAUCAUAUAUCUACUCUCGAUCUCGUACUUGUUAAAAUUCAAAACAAUAUCUGAUAAUUACGAUAAAUUACAAUGGGUUUCAUAUUGAAUCUCUUUGGCUAAAAAUCUGAUUAUACUCAAUCGGUCUCAUCUUUGUAUUUUUUGAGAAAAAGAAGGAAUGGAGAAGAGAAAAAAAUAUGAGGGAGAAAAUAACGCUGGAAUUAGGAGAAAGAAAUAUAGGAAUUAAAGAAAGAGAGAGACAUGGAUGGAUAUGAAUAUCUUUAAUUAAGGAGUAAAAUCUGCCCAUUAAUUAAACCAUUAAUUAAAUAUGAUAUAUAAUUGGUAAUUUAAUAUACGGAUUUGUAAUUAAAUCAAACCUUAAACAUGAAAAAUAAAAAAAUUUCGGUACAGGAAUGUAAAAUCCCUAUAUGAAAUAGCAUAGAAGAGAAAUGGACGCAUGUAAGCAAUUAUCAAACCGUAUGUAUACACGAUAUAUCACAUACUAAUUGCUAGGUAUCAUUUACAUAAUUUUGGAUUAGAAUAUCCACUCAUGGAUAUUAUUACAUAAUUGCUAAAUUAUACAUUAUUUACAUCCAUAAGAACAUCAUACUAUUAAAUGCUAACAUAUUGGCAAAAACUGUUGCACUAUUCGUGUCAAUCUUUGACCAAAAACACCACCUGCAAAAUCGUGAAGUAAUGAUUAAAUGUUUAAGUGUCCAUAUGUUAGACUGAGCGCAAACUUGUCUCACUGAUAUAGUUCUUGUGAAUUACAUAAUAAUAAAAAUAUUAGAUGUCUUAAAUUGGACAAUUUAAAUUAUAUAUAAAGGAUUAGCUGUUGCAGAUUUUAUUUGUAAUUUACAUACCUUUUCAAACAUUGUCUAUCUUUGUGCAUAUGGUUAAUUGUGCCUGAACUUUAAUCAACUAACAUCAAACAGUAUAAUAAUAAUGACUCUGUGAAAGAAGCAGAAAGACCAAUAGCCGUUGAAGUUAGCAGUAAGAUUGUUUUCAAUCAUCAUCAAAGACUCAGAGUAAUGACUGAAGAACAAAGAAGAGGACUUAGAAAUUUUCAAGGUAGAAGAAAGAAAGGGACCAAAUGCUGGAUUGCGUAUGGGUGUUCGUAACACGCAGCGGAAGACAAUAACAAUCCUAGGUAGAUUUUCNAAGGGUGUUCGUAACACGCAGCGGAAGAAAAUAACAAUCCUAGGUAGAUUUUCUCAUGUUUAAAAUUUAUUUACGUGUCAAAAAUAGGAUUUAAGACGUACCUGGUGAAGAGAGUUUCUUUUCCAAAAUUUAUUCGAUAGUGCGAAGACUCUAUGCGUAUCCACACCGAGACCGAUCCUUGCUAUCAACUCUUUGAUAAAUGAAACCCGCGAAAAAUUGAAUGGAAAUAUUAUGCUAAAGAUUUUCUCAAAAACUGUAGCUAAAACGUGAAAGACCAAGAAAACUAAUUUUCUUGUCAAGAAUAAUUUUUUCUUUCUUUGUAUCUCACGUUUUUUUUUCUUCUUUCUAUAUCUCUAUCUCAAUUUUUUCU